Molecule: ribosomal RNA, 492 nt
Filed under: uncultured bacterium
Lineage: Bacteria
Description: partial 16S ribosomal RNA
Rfam family: Bacterial small subunit ribosomal RNA
Source: RNAcentral
AGUGAACGCUGGCGGUAGGCCUAACACAUGCAAGUCGAACGGCAGCACAGUAAGAGUUUGCCCUAACGGGUGGCGAGGGGCGGACGGGUAGGGAAUACACCGGAUUCUAUUUUUUGGUGGGGGAAAACGAAGGGAACCUUCCGCAAAUACCCCAUACGACUUACGGUUGAAGCCAGGGAAUCUUCGGCCCUUGCGCGAUUGAUUGAGCCGAUGUCGGAUUAGCUAGUUGGCGGGGUAAAGGCCCACCAAGGCGACGAUCCGUAGCUGGUCUGAGAGGAUGAUCAGCCACACUGGAACUGAGACACGGUCCAGACUCCUACGGGAGGCAGCAGUGGGGAAUAUUGGACAAUGGGCGCAAGCCUGAUCCAGCCAUACCGCGUGGGUGAAGAAGGCCUUCGGGUUGUAAAGCCCUUUUGUUGGGAAAGAAAAGCAGCAGGUUAAUACCCCGCUGUUCUGACGGUACCCAAAGAAUAAGCACCGGCUAACUUCGUG